GACGAACGCUAGCGGCGUGCUUAACACAUGCAAGUCGAACGGAAAGGCCUGCUUUCCCUUGUGGAUUGCGGGUACUCGAGUGGCGAACGGGUGAGUAACACGUGAGUGAUCUGCCCCCAACUUGGGUAUAAGCCUGGGAAACUGGGUCUAAUUCCCGAUAGGACUGCAGGGUGGUGCCUGUGGUGGAAAACGAUUUUCUAGUGGUUGGGGAUGAGCUCGCGGCCUAUCAGCUUGUUGGUGGGGUAAUGGCCUACCAAGGCGGCGACGGGUAGCCGGCCUGAGAGGGUGGACGGCCACAUUGGGACUGAGAUACGGCCCAGACUCCUACGGGAGGCAGCAGUGGGGAAUAUUGCACAAUGGGCGGAAGCCUGAUGCAGCGACGCCGCGUGGGGGAUGACGGCCUUCGGGUUGUAAACUCCUUUCGACCGCGAGGAAGCCACCUGGUUGGAAGGGUGGUGACGGUAGUGGUAGAAGAAGCACCGGCUAACUACGUG
This 494-nucleotide ribosomal RNA is filed under the name uncultured bacterium. RNAcentral's name for it is "partial 16S ribosomal RNA". It matches the Rfam family "Bacterial small subunit ribosomal RNA", at positions 28 to 507 of the family's 1533-position model. The record is from RNAcentral.